UAGGGAAUCUUCCGCAAUGGGCGAAAGCCUGACGGAGCAACGCCGCGUGAGUGAUGAAGGUCUUCGGAUCGUAAAACUCUGUUAUUAGGGAAGAACAAAUGUGUAAGUAACUAUGCACGUCUUGACGGUACCUAAUCAGAAAGCCACGGCUAACUACGUGCCAGCAGCCGCGGUAAUACGUAGGUGGCAAGCGUUAUCCGGAAUUAUUGGGCGUAAAGCGCGCGUAGGCGGUUUUUUAAGUCUGAUGUGAAAGCCCACGGCUCAACCGUGGAGGGUCAUUGGAAACUGGAAGACUUGAGUGCAGAAGAGGAAAGUGGAAUUCCAUGUGUAGCGGUGAAAUGCGCAGAGAUAUGGAGGAACACCAGUGGCGAAGGCGACUUUAUGGUCUGUAACUGACGCUGAUGUGCGAAAGCGUGGGGAUCAAACAGG
RNAcentral lists this ribosomal RNA (429 nucleotides) under Bacteroidota bacterium. Its description in RNAcentral is "Bacteroidetes bacterium partial 16S ribosomal RNA". It matches the Rfam family "Bacterial small subunit ribosomal RNA", at positions 355 to 776 of the family's 1533-position model. The record is from RNAcentral. Lineage: Bacteria; Pseudomonadati; Bacteroidota.